GGUUGCGAUCAUACCAGCACUAAUGCACCGGAUCCCAUCAGAACUCCGCAGUUAAGCGUGCUUGGGCGGGAGUAGUACUAGGAUGGGUGACCCCCUGGGAAGUCCUCGUGUUGCAACCC
RNAcentral lists this ribosomal RNA (119 nucleotides) under Helianthus annuus (common sunflower). The record is from RNAcentral. Lineage: Eukaryota; Viridiplantae; Streptophyta; Magnoliopsida; Asterales; Asteraceae.